UGGUAUGUAGUUUAAAAGGCAAAACAAAUUUUUUAUAUUGUGAGUUCAAUUCUCACCGUACCAA
RNAcentral lists this transfer RNA (64 nucleotides) under Cryptoglena skujai. RNAcentral's name for it is "tRNA-Leu". It matches the Rfam family "tRNA". From Rfam's summary of the family: Transfer RNA (tRNA) molecules are approximately 80 nucleotides in length. Their secondary structure includes four short double-helical elements and three loops (D, anti-codon, and T loops). The record is from RNAcentral. Lineage: Eukaryota; Euglenozoa; Euglenophyceae; Euglenales; Euglenaceae.